CCUCUUUCUCCUUCUCUUCAGCGUCUUCGCGAUCUUUGAUCUCGUUCUUCUUCUAUCUCUCAUUCUUCGCGCAAUCUCGGCUUCUCUUCGAUCCUCCUCUUUGUCUAUCGCCUAGAUUUGUCCAUCUCUUCGUCGUUUUUGUGACUCGUGGUCAUUGGAUUGAGGACUCAGCGUCGAAUUGGGAACUCGUUUUGUUUAGGAUUGUGGUUAAAAUUAUUGACUGAAUCAUUUAAAAUCUUGUAAAAAUGUCAAUUUUUAUUGCUUCGCUUAUGAGUUUUUCUCUGAUUGUUGUCACAUAAUUGUUGAUUGCAUCGUCUGUCAUGAUGGUUCACAAGCACACAUCUCUAUCCAGCGUUAAAUCAGGAACCCAACACAUCUCCGUUUGACCAGCCAUGCGUAUAUCUCGUGGAAGGAACCCAACACCUCUAUCUCACCAUGUACAUCUACAACCAAGGAUCCUCUUUCGAGUUGUGGGGUUUCAGGUGUGAGAAUUGCAGCUGCCGAGGCUGUUUAUGCACUAUGUUUUAGUUCGAAAAGUUGGUGGUGGUGGUGUGUCAUCGACGUUCUUAGCUUUGUGAUAUAGUUAUCUUCCUUGUUUCUUUGUUCUAUGUAGAUGGAUAUAUUACAUAUGUAUGUGGUUAAGAUUAUUUAAUUAUAUGUAUCAUGGUGGAUUCACGUAUGACAACAUUCGUUUGGAAACAUCUUAAGUAACCAAAGUGAUCAUGGUCCCGUUUAUUGA
This is a long non-coding RNA of Camelina sativa (false flax), 739 nucleotides long. RefSeq lists it as uncharacterized. The record is from RefSeq and is a predicted model, not a curated record. Lineage: Eukaryota; Viridiplantae; Streptophyta; Magnoliopsida; Brassicales; Brassicaceae.